GUUAUGAAAUAAUAUAAAGACAAGAACAAUGAUGCAAGAACAAGAGCAAUAGAGAGAAUAGAGAGAGAGAAGUAUUCUUAUUGAUACUUAGAGAUUGUUAGGGAUCUAUUACAAUGGUAGAAGACCCCUUUAUUUAUAGGGAGUGGGAUGAUCUAGCUACCAAUAAUAGGACUCUAGAAUCUCUCUAAUUAAAGACAUUC
RNAcentral lists this long non-coding RNA (200 nucleotides) under Nicotiana benthamiana. RNAcentral's name for it is "long non-coding RNA (NBEN_LNC012908)". The record is from RNAcentral. Lineage: Eukaryota; Viridiplantae; Streptophyta; Magnoliopsida; Solanales; Solanaceae.